Solanum tuberosum (potato) is the source of this 2688-nucleotide long non-coding RNA. RefSeq lists it as uncharacterized. Lineage: Eukaryota; Viridiplantae; Streptophyta; Magnoliopsida; Solanales; Solanaceae. The transcript is spliced from 2 exons. The record is from RefSeq and is a predicted model, not a curated record.
UGCAUUAGAUUUUGCACGCAUGAAGGCAGAGGGAGGAAGGGACAUUGGGUAAUAGGGGAGACUUAGUAGGCAAGUCAGGAGGGGAUGGGGAAGGGAAGGCUAGAAAUUUCACUAGUUUUAAAAAAUAAUGUUGUUGACUCCCUAAUUGGAGACUCCACAACAUAUCAUUGCCUUAAACACAUUAGAUCUCAACCUCAAACAACUCUUUCUUCUCUCAACUUCCAAUGGCGUAUCAGUUACACCAUCACACAACAUCAAACACAAGUUCGAUGCUUAUACCGUCGACGUGAGGGUGCAAAAAGACGAAACCAUCUUUCUUUAUAUGUCAACUUUAUUCAAUUCUUUGUGUAUAUGUUUUACGGCGGAGAAACCCUAGUCCUUUAAGGUGAUUCCAUCGACUAGUUGCAUCAUGUCAUCAGAGAAUCCAACGAAUCACUGAAAUUCGAUCAAUCCAAUUGACCUUCAGAGUAUCAUCUAUGGAGCAUCGAUUACUCUAUGGUGGGAUACACCUUCAUUUUCUCCAAAUGAUAUUAGAGAGUGAUAUCCAAAACGCCGACACCCUGCAACUCUUUGGGAAAAUGUGAAGCAGACACCAUCCUCAACACGUCAAGACUGGACGUUAUGUGUGGUUGCCCUUCUGCAGUUAAUGAAAUAACUCUGGCACUGGUUAUGGCUCUGCCGCAUACAUUUACUAUGAGCUCUCGAACUAUCUGAGUUUCAAGGAUUGGUAUGUGCUUUUCAUGCUUGAAAUAUUGCUGAAUCAAAUAGCUUUGACCCCUCAGACAUGUUUGGUAUUUUCUAUCCUCUUACUAUCUUAGCAACGGCAUCUGAAACAAGGUGAUAAAAUAUGAAGCAUGUGUUAUCCUCACACGUGGAGGCUGAUGAAUGAAUUGGACUCGCUUAUUCAUGACCUAUGCAACUGCAAUGAUUAAUACAAAUAUCACUCAUAUGACCAAGAUGCUUAGCAUGUUUCUCACAACGACCCCAAAGGAUGACACAAGUAGGUCUAUGGAAAUCUUCUAGUAUUUGUAAAUUCCUCUAUUCCUGUUGCUCUGGUAAAGGUUUAUAUGUCUCCUUCUAUAUUUAGCAAACAAGUCUUCAUGGAUGCAUUUGUCAAUAUAUAGAUUAAAGUAAGACACUUUCCUCAACCCCGUAUCGUAUAUAGGCAGUGUGUUCCUAUAUUGUUAGAAAAUCAGCAAUUAGUUUUUUUCUCUCUGUAUAUAUUAAUCACAACUUUAUUAGUCUUUUUCCAUUUCUUUGUGUCUGUGUCGACAUAGAAAAAAUCGCCCCUCAUCCUAAACGCAACGGAAACAACUCUCAGCAAUCGGUGGUGAAUGUAGUGGCAGCGGCUCAGUCCACUGAAUACCCCUCCAACCAUCUCCUUGAGCAGUUGCAGAUGUUCUUAGCCUACCAACGCCAGGAAUCGAGCAUCCAGAAGAUCAUAAAAGCUGACAAGGAUAUCUGCAUGAUCUCCAUUGAAGAACCAUUUUGUCUGCCAAAACUUGUGAGCUCUUCAUUCUUGAUCUCACCAUUCAUUCCUGGUAUCAUGCUGAGGAAAACAAGUGACGGACUCUGCAGAAGAACGACAUCACUGCUGUAAGUCUUGAUGGUGGUUCUUGAAAUCGCUAAGCUGCUCAAUUUCCUAGAUCUGGUAGGUCCAGAAUAUCCCCAUCUGUUCUUUCUGCUGCUCAAAGAGAUGAUUGUAGGGGUACUCAGCAGACUGAGCUACUGCCACUACAUUCACCGUUGAUAGCUGAGAGUUGCUUUACAUGGCGUAUUGGACGAGGGGAGAUUUUUUCUAUGUUAACACAUACACAGAGAUAUGGAAGAAGUAAACUAAUUACAGAUUUUCAAAAUCUGAUGAAGGUAUAUGUGCUGAUGCUUGAAGUACAGUACAACUACUAGCUGUAGGCAAAUUAGGGGAUGCAUAAACAUGAGAAACUCACACACAUUACUGCCUGAUAACCGCAUAAACUCAGUUGAUCACACACUCUAUUCUAAAGCACGUGAUUACCUUGUUUCCAAGGCGUGAACAAAUGGAAAAGCAUUCUGCAAUGUCAAAACAUUUUAAACAUCAUAAACACCAACAACCCCUCUCAGAAGCUUACAAAACUCUAACAAUAUAGAAGCACACUGCCUAUAUACGGUUACAGGGUAGGGGAAAAGUGUCUUAGAUGAAUCUACAAAUUUACAAAUGCAUCCAUGAGCAGCUUGUUUGUUAAUAUAGUAAGAGGCGCAUAGAGCUUUACCAGAGCCGCAGGAUCAAAGGAGUGAACAAAUAUUAGGAGAUAUUCUUCAGAUUUACUAGUGUCAUCCUUUGGGAUCAUUGUGAGAAACAUGACAAACAUCUUCAUCAUACGAGCGACAUUGGUAUUAGUAUUAGUUCGCUCAGUAAUGACCUUUUCCAGUUCAUGAAGGAGAAAGGCCAUCAUCUAUCAAUUAUGACCUUUUCCAGUUGUUAAGUCUAUAUGAUAUGAUUAUUGUUGGUCUUUUGUUUUGUAAAGUUGACAAUAUUACCUCUUCCCUGGGGAAGACAAUUGGGUUUGGCCUCUCUAUAAUUCUAACUUUUAGGUUGCCUCAAGUACUUGCUAACUUGAUCAGAUUAUGAGGUAUUUGAUUGAAUUUGUAAUCAUGAGAUUUAUGUAUGUAUUUCCUUUUAAUCAUUAUCCUAAUCUGAUAUAUAUGUUA